Long non-coding RNA from Gasterosteus aculeatus aculeatus (three-spined stickleback), 1204 nucleotides. Lineage: Eukaryota; Metazoa; Chordata; Actinopteri; Perciformes; Gasterosteidae. The record is from Ensembl.
CCUGUGCAGACGGACCUCUGGGCUGGUCGAAACUGCCAAGUCACCUUCUUUGCUGUCGACGAAUGCUCUGCUGAUGUCGCCCGUUUCACCGGCGUAGUGACAUGUUCCGUUGCCACAGGAACGGCUGCUGUGUCUUCCAGGCCGGCACCGACCCCGGUGACCUUCCUUGCUUUGCCGUUGUUGUUUUUGUUCUGUUCCGUGAAGAGCUCAGUCAGCACUUCGGCUUCAGUGGUUUCUCCAAACAAGUCCCAGCCCGGCUCAGCAGGCAUCCGCUUGGAUCGCGCCACGGAAGCUUUGUUCCCAGCGGCAGAGAGCCUGGAGGAGCGACUCGGAUCCGAGUCGGAAAGACCGUGCCAUGGAUAGACAACACGUCUCCACUUCUUCAUCUAUGACACCUGAGAUGUCAUCUUGCGCUCUUGAUGUUAUCUGAAGUCAGAAGCUACGGAGUAGUGAUGGGUCCUCGUGCGCAGGUGUGUUGAGAAGUGACGGGUAGCACCACUGUAGCUCAGCACUCUCCUCCCUCCCCCACUCCUUCAGCCCCACAUCGUCCACGUCUUUCUCCAGCGACGUGCUGCUGCUGCCCAGGUCAGAGCCGCUGAUCGGCUGGUCGCUGUCGUAGCCGGCCUCCUCCUGGCUCUGGUUGGAUAAGGAGAGGAAGACGCCACUGGAGUCGGACUCCAGCGUGAGGUUGGAGUCUGGAGAGCUGUCUUCCUUAGUGGAGCUAGAAAAAAGACAAAGCCGUCAAAUGACUGCUACAUCCACCUGACUUCUAAGGACCUCUCUCUAUCACUUCUUAUCACUGAUGCCUUCCGACUUGUCAUAAGUCACGCACAGCACGGCAGAUCCUGAAAGUCCUCUGAUUUGAAUACUAACCCAUUGAUGAUGGACAAAUCGAUAUGGAACAUUAGCCCUCUACAUUACCUGAGUUUGUGUUACUUUCACAUCUACUUCUUUUGAUGAAAAUCAAAUUGAACCUACAGUUAGACAGCACAUGUUGGAAUAAAUAUGAAAUAUUUAAUUGUAAAGUAUGUGUUUUUGUCUUGCAUUAAAUCAGCGUGGAAUAUUUGCUGAAAUUGAUUUGAUUGCCUUAGCUAGAACAGUUUCCACCAGCUGCCACUGGACGUUAGAGAAUACAGUCUGUAUUUAACAUGGAUCACGUGGACUAGAAGGAAUGUACACAGCAUUCAGGACUUCCAUAAAUGGU